Molecule: long non-coding RNA, 3988 nt
Organism: Globicephala melas (long-finned pilot whale)
Lineage: Eukaryota; Metazoa; Chordata; Mammalia; Artiodactyla; Delphinidae
Source: RefSeq, a predicted model, not a curated record
CGAGAGGACCGCCCACGCGAAACACUACUGCGCUUGCUCCACCCCCGCGCGCCGCCGGCCAGCCCCAGAGUUCCCAGCGCGCGGUCAUUGACCUAAGAGUCGCGGCAGCUCCUUGUCGUCGAGUCCCCGGGCGUGAGGGAGAGGAAGCGCUGGACGGGCGGCGGGACUCGGCCUCGGUGCAGAUAUAAGGAGAAGUUAGCAGUCUGCAAAUCAGAAAACUUUCCUUACCAGAACUCAACCAUACUGGCAGCCUGCUCUUGAACUUCCAGUCUCCAGAACUUUUAUGAAGCACUGCUGUAUACAUCAUUCUACUGAAUGAAGACCUGAAUGCCUCAGACACUUGUAGCACCAAGCUUCAUGAUCUUUAAGGUCUUGGAUCAACUGGUAUUGUGAAAAGAAAAUAAGCUGGUAACCUCCCUGUCGCCGAGGUAGUGAAGACGCCGCUGUCUGCUCCACAGGGUGGGGGGGGUGACGCCCGGACCUCGCUUCACACAGGAGUUCUCUCAGGUGUCUCUUUUUCCAGUAUGUUCAAUCUUCGCCCUCUCUGCUGGGUCCUUUCAGCGUAUAAACAAGGUAAGGUCUUUCCUCACCUUCAUGUCACUUCCAUCUACAAUUGUCCUAGAUUUCAGAAAUUUCCAAGCACCAGUCCCUGAACUCUUCCUAAGUAGUGAGGAAAUCUCACUAAUUCAUGAUAAAUACUUGAGCAAAUAAGGAUAAUAUAGUGAGUUUCUCAUUAAGCUAAAGUAAUUCAAUUUAAAUGAUUUUCUUUUGUUCUGAAAUUAUGACUUUUUUUUAAUGUUCUGAUAUUCUUUGUAUAGGAGGCCCUCUGUAUCUGUGGGUUCUGUAUCCUUGGUUACAGAAGGCCGACUGUACCACACCAUUUAAUACAAGGGACUUGAGCACCCGUAGAGUUUGAUAUCCUUUGGGGGUCCUGAAACAAAUCCCCCAAGGAUCCCCAGAGAUGACUGUAUGCCACCUAUCAGAAGUGUGAAGACUUCACCUGAGCAACGAACAACCCUCUUUGCUAUACUGCAUUGUUUACAAAUUGAAGGCUUGUGACAAACCUGCGUUGAGCAAGUCUAUUGGUGCCGUUUUUCCAGCAGCAUUAGUUUAAUUAAGCUUGAGACCAAAGAGUCGCUGUGAGGGAACAUGGAACUGAGGUUGCCUGCAGUUGCAUAGAGGGACCCAACGUAUGGCUGGAUGCUGAGAAACAGUUAGAAUGCUCCUGUGAAGAAAAGUGGCUGGCGGAUAGUGGGUCAUUAAUCACCAGACGUUGAGCCCGUGCCCCCUCUUCAGGCCACUAUCGACGAGGCCUGUGAGGGUCAAACAGUGUGCCUUUCAGAUGCGUGAAGACCCUAGGAACCAAGGCGUGAUGGAUGUGUCUGGUGGAGAAGAGACCAUUACAAGCCACUCGUUGUUUAAGAACUCUCUCCUGUCCCAUUUGCCACCAAAAGUUAUUUCCUCUGUGUUGGUGGAAGUCAUAAAUGUGUCUACUUGGAAUCACAUACGGGAAGUUCCAGAACAUUCAUGCAGCUUUUCAGGUCUUCACCCCCACCGUCAGUUUACACCAGCUGCUUCUCAUCACCUAGCCCUGGGGUCCUUCCCAUGAAGUUCGGUCCAACAGAGAAGCCAGCACCCAAAGGAAGUCCAUGCACACACUGAGCAGAGGACAAAAGCCGAGACUUGAAGAGAGUGGUAUUUUCUCCAGAGACACCAGAUAGGAAUAUAAGUUGAAUGUCCCACAUGUGGUCCACUCAUCCACGCUGGCUUUGAACCACACUCAUUCCACGCUGAGCUCUUGUUUCCUAAAGCGCAUUCUAUGGUCUUCCAGUGCAGACAUAUGGCAUGCACUUCUGGCUGUUCUACAGAGCCUUCUGGUCCAGGGCUGACUGAAUAUCUAGUGACAAGGUUGGACAGCAUUGCUGGGAAUAUUUACCAAGACUGGUCUGAUGGAAAGUUCUAAAAAUCCUCAAAAUGUUUUAUGUCAAGGUGCCUGAAUCCCUUCAAGGACAGGAGUCUCCACUGCAUGUGCAGAUGUGUUCAUAGGCUUGGUCAGCAGGGAGCUGAAAAGGGUACAACGCUCAAGUGUCCUGAAAUUACGGGCCUAAUUUACCCAAGUCCUCGAAGGCACUAGCUCUAGGUGAAAGGCCUGAAGGCAAUGUCUAGCAGCUGUUGGCUUUUAAUUAGAGCCACAGUUGUUCUUGGUGCCACAUUUGGUAAAGCAGAAUGGAAUGCGUGUUUCCCAGAUUUUUACACACAAAUUCUCCACCCACCACGAGCUGUAUAAACAGACACACCUUCCUCAUCAGCUUGGCAUGGGGUGUCUCUCCUUUCCAUUCUCUUGCACAAUAACUGAGUAAAUCAACUUCUGCCUCCACACUGAGGUUCCCUGGACCAAAUCAAAGAUACAAGGUGGUGAAUUUUCCCUUUCCUUUCCCUUCUUGAACCCUCUCUGCACUUUAAAAAUAAGGAAGCAUAUGCAUGAAAAUAUUUACUUUUGAAUCUCCUCUGCAGAUAUCCAAUCCACCUAAAAGAUAAGGGAACGAUAAUAUCAAAAUUCUAUUUUAAACAGCAAGGGCAUUUUUGAAAAUUAAAGAUGACAUAGCCACAUACCUUUUCAGCCGGUGCCCUAAAUAUAAAUGUAGCCUUCUGAAGUAGCAGAGGGUGCCCACCAGAAAUGAAACUGCCAGUGUCACUGACCCCUUUCCUACUCUCCACGCGGUAUCUAAGGCUUGGCUGGUGACGAGUGUCCAGGAGUGCACUUGGUCAUUUCCUACAAAAAUUUAAUAAUAAUAACACUGUAUAGCAUGGGGAACUAUAUUUAAUAUACUCGAUAAACCAUAAUGGAAAAGAAUAUAAAAAGGAAUGUAUAUAUGUGUCUGAGUCACUUUGCUGUACAGCAGAAAUUAACAUUGUAAAUCAACUAUACUUCAAUAAAAAGUAAAAUAAAUAUACAUCACAAUUACACAAGCCUGCUUUGUUUAAGGGGGAAAAAAAGAUACACUGGAUAAUUUUACCUGUAAAGAGUCUAUCAUUGAUUUAAAUAAACGUUUUUUAAAGCAUUUGAAAAUUCAAUCUAAAGAUUAAAGAAACACCUAGUUCUCCUAUAAUCAGUGUCAUAUAUAAAGAUAUCUUUGUUCCACAGAAUUCAAGAGGAAUAGGGAACAUAAACAGCAUGGGUUUCGGAAUCCCUCAGACCUGAAUUUAAAACCCAUUUCUCCUACUUACUCAGCUGUCUGACUGUGGGACACCUCAUUUCUCUUCCCCUGAAUUUUCUUGACUGUAAAAUGGGAGUAAAAAUACUGACCUCGCUGGAGAAAGAUGGAAUGAAAUCAUUUAAGAACUAGCACAGUGCGCCUUGCACUGUGUAGAAUAUCUGUUAAAUCCAAGAAUGAUCAAGGGAGUCUGCUCAGCACCGAGCCCACAGGAGUCAAUCACACCAGGGGGGUCUCCUGCCGUGUGGCCACCACCCACUUUUGCCCACGGCGAUACUCUUAGGUCAUUAUGGGGCAUAACACAUGCCAUCAUCUGCACGCACAGAACGAGACUCAGACAGCAGGCACAGAGACAUGGUUUCCAGAAAGUGGGCCACUCAGAAUAGUCGUGGAUGGAGCUAGGUGUGCAGCUUACAGGGUACACUACGAUUCCUGAUGUGACAGGAGAGAAAAUUCACAGGCCAGGAGAGCCCAAACUACGUACUUGCAAUAUUUUACUAUGUGCAACAGAUUCCUAAUUAUAUUAUGUUUGAACAUGUAAAAUGCUGAAGUACAAAUGAGGAAGAGAACUUUUGAAUGGUGGCCAAACCUCCUGGGGUUCAUUGUGAAACAGUUCCCUCCCGGGCACAUUGGUUUAGUAAAAUUCCAAUGAUUAACUGUAGUAAAAGCCUCCUGGAUUCGGAAUCUACAAGUUUAGCAUUUUUGCUCGUAUGGAUAUUUGAUAUGCAUAUCUCAGUAAAGUUGCUAUACAUUCUCAAUAAAUAUAUAUACUC